CCCAUUUCUAGCACCCUGAAGAUGGUGAAAUGAUGCUGUUUACAAAAAAGUGGUCUCGCUGUCACACAAAUCCUAUACAGUGUCAGGUGGAAAACCAUCAAGAUGUACUGGAACAAUGAGUGAGAUUGCAUCACAAGUAAGGUGCAAAGCCUCGACUCAACUUGUGACAUAAUACAUGGUUAUGUCCCAGUACGCCAUGUCAGUGAACCAGCAUGUAUGAAACCAGAGCCCCAGAACUGACACUCCAAAAUCGAAUGCAGCCAUCUUUAAUAUUAUUAAUGACACCUGUGCUUGUAAUGCUAUGAUAAGUCCAAAUAUCUGCAGUAAAAACUUGACAAACUUGAAUGAACAAAGUUAAAAAUACAAAGGUGCACACAUCUUUUUUUGUUGUUAAUGUAUUUGCAAGUAAUGUAUUAAUGACAAAUGCUGUUGUCCAGUUUCUUUUCAUGCAACAUUGUUCUGCUGUUGAAGUGUGUUAAAACAUGCAUUAUAGUUUGAUUAUGGGAGUCUAUAGUGGGUGUCUUUUUAACAGUUGUUACAUGUACAUUUGCAUGAAUCCCUUGGACUAGCUGAAAGAGACAGAGCUGAAAUGAUUAGUGGAUAUGUUGAUUUACAGAAAAUUAAUCAGCAACUGUUUUGAUAAUCCAUCAUCU
Molecule: long non-coding RNA, 653 nt
Organism: Thunnus maccoyii (southern bluefin tuna)
Lineage: Eukaryota; Metazoa; Chordata; Actinopteri; Scombriformes; Scombridae
Exons: 3
Source: RefSeq, a predicted model, not a curated record